This is an RNA transcript of Vigna unguiculata (cowpea), 802 nucleotides long. RefSeq lists it as uncharacterized. Lineage: Eukaryota; Viridiplantae; Streptophyta; Magnoliopsida; Fabales; Fabaceae. The record is from RefSeq and is a predicted model, not a curated record.
UCUUAAAAAAAAAAUAUGAAAAAUAUAUAUGAAAUAAAAAAGAAUAAAUAAUAAUGAGAGUCAUUUGACUUGACUCUGCCAUGCAAAAUAUGGCCAGAGUUGUUGGGGGGGUUUUUGGACAGAAGAGGAAGAAAGGUUGGGGAGUGGUGUGUCAUGGUGGCAGCAAAUAGAGGAGGCAGUCUGAGCAUAGCAGUGCUGCCAUGGCUAAAAGGCAACUCCACACAUAAGCAAAGGGGGGGAACCGUUUGAAAAAAAAAACUGGCUAGCAGAAAAAGAGGGAGGGGGCGAGAGACACAGGGCUAACUGGCAGCAGAGAAAAGAUUUCAAAAUAUAUCCAGAGCAACAAAAGAAAAAGAACUUCCUAGCACAAAGGAGCUCGAACAGAUUUUCAUCACAUAAGAGGAACAGAAGAUGGCAGAAUAACACUUGGAAAAGAAAAAGCAAACGAGCAAAAAAGGAAAGAAGAAUCGUUUGAGUCGCGUAGACACUGAUAGGGAGGACUGCGAGAGAUGCGAGGAACACCCGUGGACAACAGGGAGGUGAUGGUUCCGCUGCAUAGUCCGCGUGGACUGGACCUUAUCCCUUAAUGGGCUUUUCUUUAGGGUUAUGGCCGAUGUAUUGCUUUAUGCUUUAUUACUCUACUUUCAUCUGUUAAACUUUUCAACUGGUUUUCUGUUGGCAUCGUGGUGUGCCUAGUUUUGUAGGGGUGGUGCGAAGGACCCUAUGACUGUGUUGUUGUAUUAUUUGUGUGUGGCGUUUCUUUUAAUUACGCUUAUUAAUUAAAUGGGACGUUACAAAGAAA